This 280-nucleotide ribosomal RNA is filed under the name Segatella copri DSM 18205. RNAcentral describes it as "Prevotella copri DSM 18205 partial 16S ribosomal RNA". It matches the Rfam family "Bacterial small subunit ribosomal RNA", at positions 524 to 801 of the family's 1533-position model. Lineage: Bacteria; Pseudomonadati; Bacteroidota; Bacteroidia; Bacteroidales; Prevotellaceae. The record is from RNAcentral.
UACGGAAGGUCCGGGCGUUAUCCGGAUUUAUUGGGUUUAAAGGGAGCGUAGGCCGGAGAUUAAGCGUGUUGUGAAAUGUAGACGCUCAACGUCUGCACUGCAGCGCGAACUGGUUUCCUUGAGUACGCACAAAGUGGGCGGAAUUCGUGGUGUAGCGGUGAAAUGCUUAGAUAUCACGAAGAACUCCGAUUGCGAAGGCAGCUCACUGGAGCGCAACUGACGCUGAAGCUCGAAAGUGCGGGUAUCGAACAGGAUUAGAUACCCCGGUAGUUGACUGACU